Molecule: signal recognition particle RNA, 244 nt
Filed under: Deltaproteobacteria bacterium
Lineage: Bacteria; Pseudomonadati; Myxococcota; Myxococcia
Description: signal recognition particle sRNA large type
Rfam family: Bacterial large signal recognition particle RNA
About the family: The signal recognition particle (SRP) is a universally conserved ribonucleoprotein involved in the co-translational targeting of proteins to membranes. Archaeal SRP consists of a 7S RNA and homologues of the eukaryotic SRP19 and SRP54 proteins.
Source: RNAcentral
UUGUGCUAGGCGGGGAGCUAGCGGUGCCCUUUACCCGAAAUCCGCUUAAGCGGGGCUGAAUUCCCUUCCGAGGGUUUUUCUGAACGCCUUGCAUGUCAAUCCGAUCGGCCGCCACGCAACAGCCGGCCACGAACCUCGUCAGGUCCGGAAGGAAGCAGCGAUAAGUGGUGCAGACUGUGUCGUGGAUUGUUUCCGAUCAUAUAUUGGCGCAAGGUCGAUAAAAAAUACGAAGGAGGGUGCACAA